This 406-nucleotide ribosomal RNA is filed under the name uncultured soil bacterium. RNAcentral describes it as "bacterial SSU rRNA". It matches the Rfam family "Bacterial small subunit ribosomal RNA", at positions 26 to 422 of the family's 1533-position model. The record is from RNAcentral.
AGAUUGAACGCUGGCGGCAGGCCUAACACAUGCAAGUCGAGCGGCAGCACGGGUACUUGUAUCUGGUGGCGAGCGGCGGACGGGUGAGUAAUGCCUAGGAAUCUGCCUGGUAGUGGGGGAUAACGCUCGGAAACGGCGCUAAUACCGCAUACGUCCUACGGGAGAAAGCAGGGGACCUUCGGGCCUUGCGCUAUCAGAUGAGCCUAGGUCGGAAUUAGCUAGUUGGUGAGGUAAUGGCUCGACCAAGGCGACGAUCCGUAACUGGUCUGAGAGGAUGAUCAGUCACACUGGAACUGAGACACGGUCCAGGACUCCGUACGGGAGCAGCAGUGGGAAUAGUUGGACAAGUGGGACGAAAGCUAGAUACCAGCCAGUGCCCGCGUGGUCGUGAAAGAGGUCUUUAGGA